Molecule: ribosomal RNA, 253 nt
Filed under: uncultured bacterium
Lineage: Bacteria
Description: partial 16S ribosomal RNA
Rfam family: Bacterial small subunit ribosomal RNA
Source: RNAcentral
UACAGAGGUCUCAAGCGUUGUUCGGAUUCAUUGGGCGUAAAGCGCGCGUAGGUGGCCUCAUAAGUCCGCUGUGAAAGUCAAAGGCUCAACCUUUGAAAGCCGGUGGAUACUGUGAGGCUAGAGUACGGAAGAGGCGAGUGGAAUUCCUGGUGUAGCGGUGGAAUGCGCAGAUAUCAGGAAGAACACCCGUGGCGAAGGCGGCUCUCUGGGACGGUACUGACGCUGAGACGCGAAAGCGUGGGGAGCGAACAGG